UACGGAGGGUGCAAGCGUUGUUCAGAAUCACUGGGCGUAAAGCGCGUGUAGGCGGCCCGCCAAGUCUGAUGUGAAAGCCCGGGGCUCACCCCCGGAAGAGCAUUGGAAACUGGCAGGCUAGAGUCCCGGAGAGGAGGGUGGAAUUCCUGGUGUAGCGGUGAAAUGCGUAGAUAUCAGGAGGAACACCGGUGGCGAAGGCGGCCCUCUGGACGGUGACUGACGCUGAGACGCGAAAGCGUGGGGAGCAAACAGG
Molecule: ribosomal RNA, 253 nt
Filed under: uncultured bacterium
Lineage: Bacteria
Description: partial 16S ribosomal RNA
Rfam family: Bacterial small subunit ribosomal RNA
Source: RNAcentral